RNAcentral lists this ribosomal RNA (253 nucleotides) under uncultured bacterium. RNAcentral's name for it is "partial 16S ribosomal RNA". It matches the Rfam family "Bacterial small subunit ribosomal RNA", at positions 524 to 776 of the family's 1533-position model. The record is from RNAcentral.
UACGUAGGGUGCAAGCGUUGUCCGGAAUUAUUGGGCGUAAAGAGCUCGUAGGCGGUCUGUCACGUCGGAUGUGAAAAUCCAGGGCUUAACCCUGGACCUGCAUUCGAUACGGGCAGACUAGAGUUCGGUAGGGGAGACUGGAAUUCCUGGUGUAGCGGUGAAAUGCGCAGAUAUCAGGAGGAACACCGGUGGCGAAGGCGGGUCUCUGGGCCGAUACUGACGCUGAGGAGCGAAAGCGUGGGGAGCGGACAGG